Long non-coding RNA from Phyllostomus hastatus (greater spear-nosed bat), 668 nucleotides. RefSeq lists it as uncharacterized. The transcript has 12 exons. The record is from RefSeq and is a predicted model, not a curated record. Lineage: Eukaryota; Metazoa; Chordata; Mammalia; Chiroptera; Phyllostomidae.
UGGGUCUCUGCGAGGUGGUAUUUAAGCGCCUCGCUGUGCACUUCAGGUCUCGUUUUUCUGCUCCUCUCGGUUUCAGGCGCGCGUUUGAACGCUGAAGAGCCGGAAAUAGUCCCCUUGUUGGAAUACGGUUCAGUUCAAAAGAGCUUACAGGUGGGAGGAUGGCACAGGACCCGGCCCCAUGCAGCUCGGUGAUAACAGUGGGUGUGCUCCAGCAUCAUCGCCUCAUCAAUCCUGAGGAAUUCAGCUGCUUCCCAAGGUGACUGCAGGUUGUCCUGAUGAUAUAUAUUCACCUAUCUUAAUGAUGCCCACUGAUCUGUCCAGGGUUGAACUCUUGGGAAGAGUUGGAAGCGGAGCAGCUGGAUCCUGUGCACUACUGGAAAGCCUCCAAGGUUAAAAAAGGCACUGUUACCAGUAAUCUGCUUAUCUACUCAAAGGUGCAGCAACUCCUUGGAGCCGAAGAAUGAUUUGAGGGAAUGUGUAAGCCAUAUCUCUGCUCAACUUCAUGCUGAAGUUAGAGGUCUAAAAGAACAAAUGUAUAUAAUGGAUGCCAACACUUCCAAAACAUCAAAAAAACGAAUUUUCAAGGAAUUUCUUGUAUACUCUGGCUGUUCAAAUUUACACAUAAUCAUCUCGGUCUUUAUAAAUAAAAGAUUUAAACUUUAUUGUGA